AUUCUCUUAUUAAAUCUAUUUUCUCAUAAAAAAAACCCUAGCCUAUUUCUCUCAAUCCCUGUUCUCUACCGCAUCCCUCUUUCUCUUUCUCUCUGUUCUCGAUCUCUCUGAAGCAGAUCGGAUCGGAACUUCCCGUCACUGGUCCUCCGUGUUCAGUCUCUCCGCUCAGUCCUCUCUCUCUCUCGCUCAGCGGCUCAGUUGUUGUCGUUCUCUCUCUCUCUUAUACAUAUCACUUUGUCUCAGCGGCUCAAAACCAGAUCGGAACCGGCGGCUUCAGCUUCUUCAUCGCUCAGUAGCUCUUGCUCUCUCUUUCUCUCUGCGCGCGCGGCUGCUCUGAAGACUGAAACCAGAUCUUUCCGAACCAAAAGAAAACCCCCAAAGCCUUCUCUCUCAGCCUCUCUCACAUCUAGCCCUAAAUCGCUCUUCGUUGGGUGGAGAAAUAGAAGAGGUUGUAUAAGCUAGAGAGUUGUUGGAAAUGAAUGCUGAAGCUUUGCAAGUUGCUAAGGCAUACCGCCACCUUCUCAAAGCUGUCAAGAACCACGUUGCCAAAGAAGACACUAAGCGGCAUUUCAGAGAUUAUGUAACUGAAGAAUUUAGAUUCACAUGAAAAACCCAGAUACCAUGGAGUUUCCUACCUAAUUGAUUUUCUCCUGUGGUUUUCUUUGAAAUUUGCAGGUAUUUGAGCAAUUAUGGUUCCAGGGUAGUGGUAAACAA
Molecule: long non-coding RNA, 714 nt
Organism: Rosa chinensis
Lineage: Eukaryota; Viridiplantae; Streptophyta; Magnoliopsida; Rosales; Rosaceae
Exons: 3
Source: RefSeq, a predicted model, not a curated record